AUUGAACGCUGGCGGCAUGCUUUACACAUGCAAGUCGAACGGUAACAGGCCUUCGGGCGCUGACGAGUGGCGAACGGGUGAGUAAUGCAUCGGAACGUGCCCAGAGGUGGGGGAUAACGCAGCGAAAGUUGUGCUAAUACCGCAUAUUAUCUGAGGAUGAAAGCGGGGGACUAAGCAGCAAUGUUUGGCCUCGCGCCUUUGGAGCGGCCGAUGUCAGAUUAGGUAGUUGGUGGGGUAAAGGCCUACCAAGCCGACGAUCUGUAGCUGGUCUGAGAGGACGACCAGCCACACUGGGACUGAGACACGGCCCAGACUCCUACGGGAGGCAGCAGUGGGGAAUAUUGGGCAAUGGUCGGAAGACUGACCCAGCCAUGCCGCGUGCAGGAAGACGGCCCUCUGGGUUGUAAACUGCUUUUAUCUGGGAAGAAAAAGGCCAUGCGUGGCAAAUUGCCGGUACCAGAUGAAUAAGC
Molecule: ribosomal RNA, 470 nt
Filed under: uncultured bacterium
Lineage: Bacteria
Description: bacterial SSU rRNA
Rfam family: Bacterial small subunit ribosomal RNA
Source: RNAcentral